UGUUCUCUGACAAUAAUUUGCUUAGAAAUC
This 30-nucleotide non-coding RNA is filed under the name Rattus norvegicus (Norway rat). The record is from RNAcentral. Lineage: Eukaryota; Metazoa; Chordata; Mammalia; Rodentia; Muridae.